UAUUGAGAGACGAUCGUGAAAGUUCUGGUAACGGAUCGUGAAAGACAUUUAAUCGAGAAGACAUGUGAAAGGUCAGUAAAUAUUCUAAUUUAAUUAAUUACACAGACACAUUUACGACAAAAUAAAACUGUCUGUCAAAAUGGUUCAACAUUAUGAUCAGUAUGUGAGAAUAUCCAGUUUCAAAAGUACAUAUUUAUUACAAAACGACAAAAGGCAG
This 217-nucleotide long non-coding RNA is filed under the name Mytilus galloprovincialis (Mediterranean mussel). The record is from RNAcentral. Lineage: Eukaryota; Metazoa; Mollusca; Bivalvia; Mytilida; Mytilidae.